This 69-nucleotide transfer RNA is filed under the name Chioglossa lusitanica. Its description in RNAcentral is "tRNA-Val". It matches the Rfam family "tRNA". From Rfam's summary of the family: Transfer RNA (tRNA) molecules are approximately 80 nucleotides in length. Their secondary structure includes four short double-helical elements and three loops (D, anti-codon, and T loops). The record is from RNAcentral. Lineage: Eukaryota; Metazoa; Chordata; Amphibia; Caudata; Salamandridae.
CAAAUUAUAGCUUAUCUAAAGCAUCUUGCUUACACCAAGAAAAUACCCGUUAAACUCCGGUUAAUUUGA